AGCUCCAAUAGCGUAUAUUAAAGUUGCUGCAGUUAAAAAGCUCGUAGUUGGAUUUGUGGCGCGGCCGUCCGGCGGGGGUCCUUCUAUGGUCUCGUUUGUCCUGGUUUUCGGCCGCUCCUUUCUCGGGUAGAGCGUAAUGGCUGGCAUUAGGUUGUCGGCCGCUUCGCGCCCGUCGUUUACUGUGAAAAAAUUAGAGUGUUCAAAGCAGGCUUAUGCCGUGAAUACAUUAGCAUGGAAUAAUAAGAUAGGACUUUGGUUCUAUUUUGUUGGUUGGAGGCCAAGGUAAUGAUUAAUAGGGACAGUUGGGGGUAUUCAUAUUUAAUUGUCAGAGGUGAAAUUCUUGGAUUUAUGAAAGAUGAACUUAUGCGAAAGCAUUUACCAAGGAUGUUUUCAUUAAUCA
This 400-nucleotide ribosomal RNA is filed under the name phytoplankton environmental sample. Its description in RNAcentral is "partial small subunit ribosomal RNA". It matches the Rfam family "Eukaryotic small subunit ribosomal RNA", at positions 587 to 979 of the family's 1831-position model. The record is from RNAcentral.